AGAGUUUGAUCCUGGCUCAGGACGAACGCUGGCGGCGCGCCUAACACAUGCAAGUCGAACGAGCGAGAGAGAGCUUGCUUUCUCAAGCGAGUGGCGAACGGGUGAGUAACGCGUGAGGAACCUGCCUCAAAGAGGGGGACAACAGUUGGAAACGACUGCUAAUACCGCAUAAGCCCACAGGUCGGCAUCGACCAGAGGGAAAAGGAGCAAUCCGCUUUGAGAUGGCCUCGCGUCCGAUUAGCUGGUUGGUGAGGUAACGGCCCACCAAGGCGACGAUCGGUAGCCGGACUGAGAGGUUGAACGGCCACAUUGGGACUGAGACACGGCCCAGACUCCUACGGGAGGCAGCAGUGGGGAAUAUUGCACAAUGGGGGAAACCCUGAUGCAGCGACGCCGCGUGGAGGAAGAAGGUCUUCGGAUUGUAAACUCCUGUUGUUGAGGAAGAUAAUGACGGUACUCAACAAGGAAGUGACGGCUAACUACGUGCCAGCAGCCGCGGUAAAACGUAGGUCACAAGCGUUGUCCGGAAUUACUGGGUGUAAAGGGAGCGCAGGCGGGAAGACAAGUUGGAAGUGAAAUCUAUGGGCUCAACCCAUAAACUGCUUUCAAAACUGUUUUUCUUGAGUAGUGCAGAGUAGGCGGAAUUCCCGGUGUAGCGGUGGAAUGCGUAGAUAUCGGGAGGAACACCAGUGGCGAAGGCGGCCUACUGGGCACCAACUGACGCUGAGGCUCGAAAGUGUGGGUAGCAAACAGGAUUAGAUACCCUGGUAGUCCACACCGUAAACGAUGAUUACUAGGUGUUGGAGGAUUGACCCCUUCAGUGCCGCAGUUAACACAAUAAGUAAUCCACCUGGGGAGUACGACCGCAAGGUUGAAACUCAAAGGAAUUGACGGGGGCCCGCACAAGCAGUGGAGUAUGUGGUUUAAUUCGACGCAACGCGAAGAACCUUACCAAGUCUUGACAUCCUGCGACGCACAUAGAAAUAUGUGUUUCCUUCGGGACGCAGAGACAGGUGGUGCAUGGUUGUCGUCAGCUCGUGUCGUGAGAUGUUGGGUUAAGUCCCGCAACGAGCGCAACCCUUACUGUCAGUUACUACGCAAGAGGACUCUGGCAGGACUGCCGUUGACAAAACGGAGGAAGGUGGGGAUGACGUCAAAUCAUCAUGCCCUUUAUGACUUGGGCCACACACGUACUACAAUGGCGUUAAACAAAGAGAAGCAAGACCGCGAGGUGGAGCAAAACUCAGAAACAACGUCCCAGUUCGGACUGCAGGCUGCAACUCGCCUGCACGAAGUCGGAAUUGCUAGUAAUCGUGGAUCAGCAUGCCACGGUGAAUACGUUCNCCGGGCCUUGUACACACCGCCCGUC
Molecule: ribosomal RNA, 1369 nt
Filed under: uncultured bacterium
Lineage: Bacteria
Description: bacterial SSU rRNA
Rfam family: Bacterial small subunit ribosomal RNA
Source: RNAcentral